UUAAUAAGUGCAUCGUUAAAUGUAAGUUGUCUCUAAUACUUGGUUGUUAGGAUAGAUUUUCGCUAAUUAUCGAUUGUUGAAACAGUGGUACCGUUCCGAUACCACUCGAUUUCAGCAGCACUCGACGAAUUGCCUGAUAGAAUUCAGGGCACAGCUGACCUGAUUUCCGUAUUCUGGAUCGGAUAGACCCGGGAUCGAGUAGCGAAGCACAGGCGACAUUCUAGCACUAAAAUCUUUGAAGCUGCGUAAAUAAAACACACAACGUUUAAACGCUUAGACCCGCCCAAGGAAAAAUGCGAGCGCGAUCCGAAUCGUGUUCGUAUAUCGUCGAAUACAGCCUUGUAAAAUUGGGCCCUAUUACAUAAGACGAGUCACGAGUCAUUUAACUCGAGUGAGCCAUUUUGGUAUUACAGUAGUCGAGUCGAGUCGAAUUUCAGUCGAGUAGCUCGACUGAGUCGACCGCUUGAAGGUUCGUGACUCAGCUGUUUCACUCGACUACCGUAAUACGACGUUCCGCUCGACUCGACAGUGACUGGAGUCGAAUCGAGUUACUCGACUCGUCUUCUGUAAUAGGGCCCAUAAUUCAAUAAACCUAGGUAUAACAUAACAUGAAAAAAGCUUAUAAUUAUGGUUUGUCAACUUUUAGUCACGUCUUUUUGUAUAAGGUACACCGGGGUAAGUGUGGACGAUGGCUAUUAAAACAAUACUGUGCACUAUUUUUCGGAACUUUUAAAGCAGAAUAUUCAAUUUACUUGUAAUCUAUCCAAUAACUGUGAAAAAGAUACGAUUCCGACAAUAACGGAUGUUUACAUGGACUUUUUAAGAAUUUUCUUAUUUUCAACUACGAUGUCGAGGUGAUGUUCAUCUUUUUCAAUUGCAAAUGUCUCGUAAACUAGCUGGCUCUUGACGAAAAAAACUCUACAUUGAAACAAUCCUUACAUUCGAAACAACCAGUUAGGAAAAGAAACGGCGAUUAAAAAUGAAGAAAAAAAAGAGUUUAUUCACAAAAAACUAAAAUUUUGUCUCCAAACCCUAGCUGGGGUAAGUAUGGACGGCUUUAUACAGGCUUGAUAUUUACAUAUUUUUUUCAAUUUUCUGUCCUUCAUCCAAUACAAUUUAGCUAUAUUUAGCAUUCGGAUCAUAAAAAGCUGGGUUGUUCUGGAAUAAGUACAUAUUUUCGAUAAAAUCGGAUCUCGUGUGUUGAAACAUAAAUUACACACAAUAAUUAUUGAAAGACGCCUUACUAAUAGCACCAUUAACUUUUGUUCCAAAAUUUUGGAUGGUUCGAGCAAUAAAGUAUCAUAUUCAACCAAGAAAACACAAAUUUGUUGAAAAUUUCCUGAAAAAUCAUAGGGAAAAUCUAACGUCCACACUUACCCCAUAAUGCGGGGUAAGUGAAGACACCAGCAGUCCAUAACAAUUUACGUGAUAGCAUUUCUCUUCAGCGUUUGUUAAAAACAUGUUCUGCAUCACAUUGAACGUAAUUUUAUCAAAAUUGAUCCACUGCUGAUUUUUUAAUAAUUUUUUAAAGUUGAACUAUACGAAAAACCGUCCACACUUACCUCGGUGUACCUUAACACAUUGUCUGUAUAUUCUGAAAACAUAUGUGCUUAUAUAUAAUUCUGUUUACUUACCAGCUUAGUAUUGGACACCGACAAAUGUGUAAGUUGUGGUAUGAGAGUUUGCAGAUGGUCACGGAAGAAUACAUCUUCUUCUUGGAUGAAGCGUGAUAUAAGAUGUAUAGUUUUGAUAACUGCAUUUUCGUCUUUUAUGAGUAGACAUUUGAGGAGAACCGGUCCCACCUGAAGUAAGAAGAAAAGUUUUCAGCUGGAUUCGGCGAGUUUGAGUAUAUAUUCUACUAACUUUAUCCAUAUUAGUUUUAAGAACAAUAUGUGGGGCGAUUUGGUAAACGUGUAUCAAUGCUGUGAGAUGCGUUUCAGCGUAUUGUUCAACUUUUUGUUCUAAUUUUUUCAUUACUAGAACAAAAAGUUUCUGUUUGAAGAGACCUUUUAUAAGUGGCAAGUGGAGUUUUGGGAAUGCUGCUGAUAAAAUUUCAAAUGCCAGAGCAGCUACAGUGCCGAGAGACGGAUGAUCCAAGAGUUCUGCCAAAUCUUCCACAAUUUCACCAGCAACAUGAUGAUUUUUGGCAAGUAAUCCUUUUCCGAUCCAAGACAACACAGCUACGGCCUUUUUAUUGUUGUUUUUUAUUUCGCUUCUUAAUUUAGCUAAAAUUUUUACAAGAACAUUACGAUGGUGUUCAUCAUUUGGCAUCUUGUUGAACAGGCUGCAUAACAAAUGAUUGCUGAUAUCUUUGAUAUUAUCAUCUUCAGAGUCCAUCGAUAAUUUGGUCAAAUCGUCCACCAAAUGUUCAAAAUGAUUUUCAACCGUUACUGUUUCAUCUAAAUAUCCUAGAAUGCCCGAAGUUAAAUACAAAUCUUUUGCUUGAGUCAGGUCCAUUGAAACCAAAUAUUUGUUCACUACAGUCUGCUGUUUUUCUGGCGAUAAUUGCUUCAUUAUGAUUUUCAGAACAACUGACACUGCGUAGAGAAAGUGAUUAGAGAAGUUAUGAUCUGAUUGAUGCACAAAAUCCGUAAAUCGCUCUAUCAAAUUAUACUGUUUGCACAAUUCGUUCGAUAAUUCUUUUGAUUCCGGUUUCUCCAGCAAUCGUUGCCAGCAGUUUAGCGCCACAACUGCUACCUCUUCAUUUAAAGGAUCUCCAAAAAAUAUGUUGAUAAAAAAAUUCGCUACUACAUCCCUGAUGAUCAUCAGAGGUAAAAGCCUUACCAAUGCUUGGAAGACACGAGGCGUUGGAAUUGCAGUGUUUUCAUAUUUUCUAAGAAUCAAUUUUUCUACCACUAUACUCAAUACCUCGGUGGAAUAUUGUUGGGCAAACUGAUACAAGCAAUCUUCCACAAAAACACUAUCAUCGUCAGAAUUCAAUAAAGUAUCUACGAUGGUCGUAUAGACAACGUAACGAUUAUCAUCAGUGACGAUUUCCGGAAUGCUGGUCACACAUCUGACUACUACCUUGCGUAAUUGCAUAGAAUCUUUUUCCUGAACAAGCGCCUGGAUGAACAGUUUUUGUGAGGUUUUUACCAAAUCAUCUGCUAUCAGAUGCAGAACACACUUCCGCUUACAACAAACCAACGACAAAUGAAUCAUCUCUAUUAAGGACAGCUUCUCAGAUUCUCGCAGGACAGAUUCUUGCAUUUGAGAGAAAGCAAUCGGUAGCAGUUUGUUCGAAGUAAAUAGAGCAGCUUCGUCAGACGCAUCGGCGCAUUUCAUUGCUAUCUUGACGCCGUACUCAAAAAGCUUUGUAGAAACAUCAGAAACGGCACCGAGAAUCGACAUAAAAAUGCAAGUCAACAAGCGGUUUUCGUUCUGCAAAUCGGUAUGCGCCACCAAGACGAGAUGGCGGGUCGCUUCCAGGGCCAAAUCGUAAACUUCUUUGUUUCCAUGACCAGGAAGCAGCUCCAUUUUCAAUACUUUCCAAAUAUCCUCGAGGUGGUGAUCUAGCUCGAUAAGCGGAAACGCUUGAGUACAUUUAAUCUGCAAUCAAAUAAAGAUAUAAUAAAACAGCGCUUUAUUUACGUGUUUAGUUGAAAUAUUUC
Long non-coding RNA from Uranotaenia lowii, 3611 nucleotides. RefSeq lists it as uncharacterized. NCBI's taxonomy places the organism in Eukaryota, Metazoa, Arthropoda, Insecta, Diptera, Culicidae. The transcript is spliced from 3 exons. The record is from RefSeq and is a predicted model, not a curated record.